This 573-nucleotide small RNA is filed under the name Myceliophthora sp. FLN7b. RNAcentral describes it as "eukaryotic LSU rRNA". The stretch from base 199 to 352 matches the Rfam family "5.8S ribosomal RNA". Lineage: Eukaryota; Fungi; Ascomycota; Sordariomycetes; Sordariales; Chaetomiaceae. The record is from RNAcentral.
UCCGUAGGUGACCUUGCGGAGGGAUCAUUACAGAGUUGCAAAACUCCCCAAACCAUCGUGAACGCUACCCAAACCGUUGCUUCGGCGGGCGGCGCCCUCGCGCGCCCCCCUGGGCCCGCACCGCGGGCGCCCGCCGGAGGUACACCAAACUCUUGAUAUGUUAUGGCCACUCUGAGUCUUCUAUACUGAAUCAGUCAAAACUUUCAACAACGGAUCUCUUGGUUCUGGCAUCGAUGAAGAACGCAGCGAAAUGCGAUAAGUAAUGUGAAUUGCAGAAUUCAGUGAAUCAUCGAAUCUUUGAACGCACAUUGCGCCCGCCAGUAUCCUGGCGGGCAUGCCUGUUCGAGCGUCAUUUCAACCCAUCAAGCCCACGGCUUGUGUUGGGGACCUGCGGCUGCCCGCAGGCCCUGAAAACCAGUGGCGGGCUCGCUAGUCACACCGAGCGUAGUAGCAUACGACCUCGCUCAGGGCGUGCUGCGGGUUCCAGCCGUAAAACGACCUUCGCAACCCCAAGGUUGACCUCGGAUCAGGUAGGAGGACCCGCUGAACUUAAGCAUAUCAAUAAGCGGAGGA